This 469-nucleotide ribosomal RNA is filed under the name uncultured bacterium. RNAcentral's name for it is "bacterial SSU rRNA". It matches the Rfam family "Bacterial small subunit ribosomal RNA", at positions 32 to 507 of the family's 1533-position model. The record is from RNAcentral.
GCGACGCUGGGCGGCGUGCCUACCAUGCAUGUCAAGGAAGCGGCUUCGGCCGGGAGYACUUGGCGCAGGGUGAGUAAUGUAUAGGUAAUCUGCCCUUUGGACUGGGAUAACCCCGAGAAAUCGGGGACAAUACCAGAUGAUGCAGCGGAACCGCAUGGUUAUGUUGUUAAAGAUUUAUCGCCAAAGGAUGAACCUAUAUCCCAUCAGGUAGUUGGUAAGGUAACGGCUUACCAAGCCUACGACGGGUAGCUGGUCUGAGAGGAUGAUCAGCCACAUUGGAACUGAGACACGGUCCAGACUCCUACGGGAGGCAGCAGUGAGGAAUAUUGCGCAGUGGGCGAAAGCCUGACGCGGCAACGCCGCGUGGAUGAUGAAGUUCUUCGGAAUGUAAAGUCCUUUUGUAGAGGAAGAAUAUCUUGGUUUACCAGGACUGACGGUACUCUACGAAUAAGCCACGGCUAACUACGUG